GAAUAUUGGACAAUGGGCGAAAGCCUGAUCCAGCCAUGCCGCGUGUGUGAAGAAGGUCUUCGGAUUGUAAAGCACUUUAAGUUGGGAGGAAGGGUUGUAGAUUAAUACUCUGCAAUUUUGACGUUACCGACAGAAUAAGCACCGGCUAACUCUGUGCCAGCAGCCGCGGUAAUACAGAGGGUGCAAGCGUUAAUCGGAAUUACUGGGCGUAAAGCGCACGUAGGUGGUUUGGUAAGUCGGAUGUGAAAGCCCUGGGCUUAACCUGGGAAUUGCAUUCGAUACUGCUUGACUAGAGUAUGGUAGAGGGAAGUGGAAUUUCCGGUGUAGCGGUGAAAUGCGUAGAUAUCGGAAGGAACACCAGUGGCGAAGGCGACUUCCUGGGCCAAUACUGACACUGAGGUGCGAAAGCGUGGGUAGCAAACAGG
This 425-nucleotide ribosomal RNA is filed under the name uncultured bacterium. RNAcentral's name for it is "bacterial SSU rRNA". It matches the Rfam family "Bacterial small subunit ribosomal RNA", at positions 359 to 776 of the family's 1533-position model. The record is from RNAcentral.